AUUGAACGCUGGCGGCAGGCCUAACACAUGCAAGUCGAGCGGAUGAAGGGAGCUUGCUCCUGGAUUCAGCGGCGGACGGGUGAGUAAUGCCUAGGAAUCUGCCUGGUAGUGGGGGAUAACGUCCGGAAACGGGCGCUAAUACCGCAUACGUCCUGAGGGAGAAAGUGGGGGAUCUUCGGACCUCACGCUAUCAGAUGAGCCUAGGUCGGAUUAGCUAGUUGGUGGGGUAAAGGCCUACCAAGGCGACGAUCCGUAACUGGUCUGAGAGGAUGAUCAGUUACACUGGAACUGAGACACGGUCCAGACUCCUACGGGAGGCAGCAGUGGGGAAUAUUGGACAAUGGGCGAAAGCCUGAUCCAGCCAUGCCGCGUGUGUGAAGAAGGUCUUCGGAUUGUAAAGCACUUUAAGUUGGGAGGAAGGGCAGUAAGUUAAUACCUUGCUGUUUUGGCGUUACCAACAGAAUAAGCACCGGCUAACUUCGUG
This 484-nucleotide ribosomal RNA is filed under the name uncultured bacterium. RNAcentral's name for it is "partial 16S ribosomal RNA". It matches the Rfam family "Bacterial small subunit ribosomal RNA", at positions 30 to 507 of the family's 1533-position model. The record is from RNAcentral.